Molecule: ribosomal RNA, 2171 nt
Filed under: marine sediment metagenome
Description: bacterial LSU rRNA
Rfam family: Bacterial large subunit ribosomal RNA
Source: RNAcentral
CGAGCAAGCUUAAACCGUUAGGUGUAGGCGCAGCGAAAGCGAGUCUGAAUAGGGCGUUCAGUUCGACGGAUUAGACCCGAAACCAGGUGAUCUAGGCAUGAGCAGGCUGAAGGUGCGGUAACACGCACUGGAGGGCCGAACCCACCUAUGUUGAAAAAUGGGGGGAUGACUUGUGCCUAGGGGUGAAAGGCCAAUCAAACCUGGAGAUAGCGGGUUCUCCGCGAAAUCUAUUUAGGUAGAGCGUCGGACGAAUACUCUCGGGGGUAGAGCACUGGAUGGGCUAGGGGGCCUCAACGGCUUACCAAACCUAACCAAACUCCGAAUACCGAGAAGUACUAUCCGGCAGACACACGGCGGGUGCUAAGGUCCGUCGUGGAAAGGGAAACAGCCCUAACCGCCAGCUAAGGUCCCUAAGUUACGGCUAAGUGUGAAAGGAUGUGAAAACCCCAAAACAACCAGGAGGUUGGCUUAGAAGCAGCCAUCCUUUAAAGAAAGCGUAACAGCUCACUGGUCUAAAUAAGGGUUCUGCGCCGACAAUGUAACGGGGCUCAAGCCGUACACCGAAGCUGCGGGUGCGCACGCAAGUGCGCGCGGUAGCGGAGCGUUCCGUAAGCCUGUGAAGGGUUGCCGUGAGGCGGCCUGGAGGUAUCGGAAGUGAGAAUGCUGACAUGAGUAACGAUAAGGAGUGUGAGAGACACUCCCGCCGAAAGUCCAAGGGUUCCUGCGUAAAGCUAAUCUGCGCAGGGUUAGCCGGCCCCUAAGGCGAGGGCGAAAGCCGUAGUCGAUGGGAAUGAGGGUCAAUAUUCCCUCAGCCAGUGGGUGGUGACGAAUGUCCAAAAGUUGUCAGGGCUUAUCGGAUUGGUCCUGGCGGCGAAGGAGUUCCAGGAAAUAGCCCCCACAACUAAUGACCGUACCCCUAAACCGACACAGGUGGACAGGUAGAGCAUACCAAGGCGCUUGAGAGAACCGCAUUGAAGGAACUCGGCAAAAUGCACCCGUAACUUCGGGAGAAGGGUGACCUCUCAUUGGGCAACCAGUGUGGGGUGGCACAGACCAGGGGGUGGCGACUGUUUACUAAAAACACAGGGCUCUGCGAAGUCGCAAGACGACGUAUAGGGUCUGACGCCUGCCCGGUGCCGGAAGGUUAAAGAGAGGGGUGAGAGCUCUGAACUGAAGCCCCGGUAAACGGCGGCCGUAACUAUAACGGUCCUAAGGUAGCGAAAUUCCUUGUCGGGUAAGUUCCGACCUGCACGAAUGGCGUAACGACUUCCCCGCUGUCUCCAAUGCGGACUCAGUGAAAUUGAACUCCCCGUGAAGAUGCGGGGUACCUGCGGUCAGACGGAAAGACCCCGUGCACCUUUACUAUAGCUUCGCACUGGUAUUCGUAACUACAUGUGUAGGAUAGGUGGGAGGCUUUGAACCUGGAGCGCCAGUUUCAGGGGAGCCAACCUUGAAAUACCACCCUUGUAAUUAUGGAUAUCUAACCGCGGCCCAUGAACCUGGGUCCGGGACCGUGCGUGGUGGGUAGUUUGACUGGGGCGGUCGCCUCCUAAAGAGUAACGGAGGCGCGCGAUGGUGGGCUCAAGCUGGUCGGAAAUCAGCUGUCGAGUGCAAUGGCAUAAGCCUGCCUGACUGCGAGAUCGACAGAUCGAGCAGAGACGAAAGUCGGUCAUAGUGAUCCGGUGGUCCCGCGUGGAAGGGCCAUCGCUCAACGGAUAAAAGGUACGCCGGGGAUAACAGGCUGAUGACGCCCAAGAGUCCAUAUCGACGGCGUUGUUUGGCACCUCGAUGUCGGCUCAUCGCAUCCUGGGGCUGGAGCAGGUCCCAAGGGUUUGGCUGUUCGCCAAUUAAAGCGGUACGUGAGCUGGGUUUAGAACGUCGUGAGACAGUUCGGUCCCUAUCUGCCGUGGGUGUAGGAUACUUGCGAGGAGCUGCUCCUAGUACGAGAGGACCGGAGUGGACGUACCUCUGGUGGACCGGUUGUCGCGCCAGCGGCAUAGCCGGGUAGCUAAAUACGGAAGGGAUAACCGCUGAAAGCAUCUAAGCGGGAAGCCCCCCUCGAAACUAGUUCUCCCUUGAGAGCCGUGGAAGACCACCACGUUGAUAGGUCAGGUGUGGAAGCGCAGCAAUGCGUGAAGCUUACUGAUACUAAUCGCUCGAUUGGCUUGAUU